This 272-nucleotide ribosomal RNA is filed under the name uncultured Clostridiaceae bacterium. RNAcentral describes it as "partial 16S ribosomal RNA". It matches the Rfam family "Bacterial small subunit ribosomal RNA", at positions 70 to 339 of the family's 1533-position model. Lineage: Bacteria; Bacillati; Bacillota; Clostridia; Eubacteriales; Clostridiaceae. The record is from RNAcentral.
UGAAGUUUCCUUCGGGAAACGGAUUAGCGGCGGACGGGUGAGUAACACGUGGGUAACCUGCCUCAUAGAGUGGAAUAGCCUUCCGAAAGGGAGAUUAAUACCGCAUAGUGUUGAAAGAUGGCAUCAUCAUUCAACCAAAGGAGCAAUCCGCUAUGAGAUGGACCCGCGGCGCAUUAGCUAGUUGGUGGGGUAAUGGCCUACCAAGGCGACGAUGCGUAGCCGACCUGAGAGGGUGAUCGGCCACAUUGGGACUGAGACACGGCCCAGACUCC